RNAcentral lists this ribosomal RNA (1438 nucleotides) under uncultured organism. RNAcentral's name for it is "SSU rRNA". It matches the Rfam family "Bacterial small subunit ribosomal RNA". The record is from RNAcentral.
AUGAACGCUAGCGACAGGCUUAACACAUGCAAGUCGAGGGGCAGCGGGGGUAGCGAUACCCGCCGGCGACCGGCGCACGGGUGAGUAACGCGUAUGCAACUUGCCUAUCAGAGGGGGAUAACCCGGCGAAAGUCGGACUAAUACCGCAUGAAGCAGGGGCCCCGCAUGGGGAUAUUUGCUAAAGAUUCAUCGCUGAUAGAUAGGCAUGCGUUCCAUUAGGCAGUUGGCGGGGUAACGGCCCACCAAACCGACGAUGGAUAGGGGUUCUGAGAGGAAGGUCCCCCACAUUGGUACUGAGACACGGACCAAACUCCUACGGGAGGCAGCAGUGAGGAAUAUUGGUCAAUGGCCGAGAGGCUGAACCAGCCAAGUCGCGUGAGGGAUGAAGGUUCUAUGGAUCGUAAACCUCUUUUAUAAGGGAAUAAAGUGCGGGACGUGUCCCGUUUUGUAUGUACCUUAUGAAUAAGGAUCGGCUAACUCCGUGCCAGCAGCCGCGGUAAUACGGAGGAUCCGAGCGUUAUCCGGAUUUAUUGGGUUUAAAGGGUGCGUAGGCGGCCUUUUAAGUCAGCGGUGAAAGUCUGUGGCUCAACCAUAGAAUUGCCGUUGAAACUGGGGGGCUUGAGUAUGUUUGAGGCAGGCGGAAUGCGUGGUGUAGCGGUGAAAUGCAUAGAUAUCACGCAGAACCCCGAUUGCGAAGGCAGCCUGCCAAGCCAUUACUGACGCUGAUGCACGAAAGCGUGGGGAUCAAACAGGAUUAGAUACCCUGGUAGUCCACGCAGUAAACGAUGAUCACUAGCUGUUUGCGAUACACUGUAAGCGGCACAGCGAAAGCGUUAAGUGAUCCACCUGGGGAGUACGCCGGCAACGGUGAAACUCAAAGGAAUUGACGGGGGCCCGCACAAGCGGAGGAACAUGUGGUUUAAUUCGAUGAUACGCGAGGAACCUUACCCGGGUUUGAACGCAUUCGGACCGAGGUGGAAACACCUUUUCUAGCAAUAGCCGUUUGCGAGGUGCUGCAUGGUUGUCGUCAGCUCGUGCCGUGAGGUGUCGGCUUAAGUGCCAUAACGAGCGCAACCCUUGCCACUAGUUACUAACAGGUAAAGCUGAGGACUCUGGUGGGACUGCCAGCGUAAGCUGCGAGGAAGGCGGGGAUGACGUCAAAUCAGCACGGCCCUUACAUCCGGGGCGACACACGUGUUACAAUGGCGUGGACAAAGGGAGGCCACCUGGCGACAGGGAGCGAAUCCCCAAACCACGUCUCAGUUCGGAUCGGAGUCUGCAACCCGACUCCGUGAAGCUGGAUUCGCUAGUAAUCGCGCAUCAGCCAUGGCGCGGUGAAUACGUUCCCGGGCCUUGUACACACCGCCCGUCAAGCCAUGGGAGCCGGGGGUACAAGGAGUCCGUAACCGAAAGGAUCGGCCUAGGGUAAAACUGGUGA